CCUACGGGAGGCAGCAGUAGGGAAUAUUGCUCAAUGGGGGAAACCCUGAAGCAGCAACGCCGCGUGGAGGAUGAAGGUUUUCGGAUUGUAAACUCCUUUUGUUAGAGAAGAUAAUGACGGUAUCUAACGAAUAAGCACCGGCUAACUCCGUGCCAGCAGCCGCGGUAAUACGGAGGGUGCAAGCGUUACUCGGAGUCACUGGGCGUAAAGAGAGCGUAGACGGGAUAGCAAGUCAGAUGUGAAAUCCUAUGGCUUAACCAUAGAACUGCAUUUGAAACUGUUAUUCUAGAGUAUGGGAGAGGUAGGUGGAAUUCUUGGUGUAGGGGUAAAAUCCGUAGAGAUCAAGAGGAAUACUCAUUGCGAAGGCGACCUGCUAGAACAUAACUGACGCUGAUGCGCGAAAGCGUGGGGAGCAAACAGGAUUAGAUACCCUUGUAGUC
This 440-nucleotide ribosomal RNA is filed under the name uncultured bacterium. RNAcentral describes it as "partial 16S ribosomal RNA". It matches the Rfam family "Bacterial small subunit ribosomal RNA", at positions 338 to 795 of the family's 1533-position model. The record is from RNAcentral.